Molecule: ribosomal RNA, 447 nt
Filed under: uncultured bacterium
Lineage: Bacteria
Description: bacterial SSU rRNA
Rfam family: Bacterial small subunit ribosomal RNA
Source: RNAcentral
UGCCAGACUCCUACGGGAGGCAGCAGUCGGGAAUAUUGCGCAAUGGAGGAAGCUCUGACGCAGUGACGCCGCGUAUAGGAAGAAGGUUUUCGGAUUGUAAACUAUUGUCAUCAGGGAAGAUAAAAGACAGUACCUGAGGAGGAAGCUCCGGCUAACUAUGUGCCAGCAGCCGCGGUAAUACAUAGGGAGCAAGCGUUAUCCGGAUUUAUUGGGUGUAAAGGGUGCGUAGACGGGAAAGCAAGUUAGUUGUGAAAUCCCUCGGCUUAACUGAGGAACUGCAACUAAAACUGUUUUUCUUGAGUGUCGGAGAGGAAAGUGGAACUCCUAGUGUAGCGGUGAAAUGCGUAGAUAUUAGGAGGAACACCAGUGGCGAAGGCGACUUUCUGGACGAUAACUGACGUUGAGGCACGAAAGUGUGGGGAGCAAACAGGAUUAGAUACCCCAGUA